GAUAUCAUGUAUCGAUGACCACUCAGCAAAGCUUUGGAUAGAGAGAAAACACCGAAACAAGGCAUUGACAAUUCCAAGUGGCAAGAAGGUCAGUAGCAGUGCCGUCUUAUAACCUACCAACGACAUCAUAAACGUGUAUCCAGUGGAUGCAACUACUCCAUGUUGAGUAUGCCGACCAAUAAAUACUGACAAAACCCUGAAGAUAAAACAUGUCAAAAGCAUCACCAUGAACAUAGGUAACCAACCUAGUCAGUCUUUUCAUCCGAAACUGGAAACUCCAUAAAAACUCAUGUACUUGAAUUUAAAUAGUAUUCCAAACAUCUAAAGCUCAAUAACUGACGGAACCAAAAGUACAAAUAAACACAACAGUAUCCCUCUCCUCUAUUACUCAAUUCCCCAAAGCUGUAUACAAUAUAUGCUUUCCAAAGCAUGAACCCAAAUACAGCGGGAACUUUCAACUAGCGUCUACAAGAAAACAACAUGACAUGGAGAAGGGGUAGAUCAGUUCUACAAUUCCAUCAUACCAACAAAAAUUUGCCCAACCAAAAAUAAUAGCACAUAGCACGAUUUUCCUAAUAGACACUGUCUUAAUCUUCCUAUAUGGAUGUAUGAUUCCCCUUUAAAUUGAACACAUUUGCAAUAAACCAACUGAACAAAAAUCACAAUGCCAUAAUAUGAACAAACAACUUGAAUCUGCUAGAGUUCUUGCAAUUGCUGAUAACAUUUUUGCAAUGAGAUGACCAAUUGAAGAAAAAUCACAAUGCCAUGAUACUAACAAAUAAUAACAUGAAUCUGCUAGAGCUAUUGCAAUUGCUAAUAACAUGUUUGCAAUGAGAUGACCAAUUGAAGAAAAAUCACAAUGACAUGAUACUAACAAAUAAUAACAUGAAUCUGCUAGAGUUC
RNAcentral lists this long non-coding RNA (903 nucleotides) under Musa acuminata (dwarf banana). Its description in RNAcentral is "long non-coding RNA (MACU_LNC011859)". Lineage: Eukaryota; Viridiplantae; Streptophyta; Magnoliopsida; Zingiberales; Musaceae. The record is from RNAcentral.